UACGUAGGGUGCAAGCGUUGUCCGGAAUUAUUGGGCGUAAAGAGCUCGUAGGCGGUCUGUCGCGUCGGCUGUGAAAACUCGGGGCUCAACUCCGAGCUUGCAGUCGAUACGGGCAGGCUAGAGUUCGGCAGGGGAGACUGGAAUUCCUGGUGUAGCGGUGAAAUGCGCAGAUAUCAGGAGGAACACCGGUGGCGAAGGCGGGUCUCUGGGCCGAUACUGACGCUGAGGAGCGAAAGCGUGGGGGAGCGAACAGG
This 254-nucleotide ribosomal RNA is filed under the name uncultured bacterium. RNAcentral's name for it is "partial 16S ribosomal RNA". It matches the Rfam family "Bacterial small subunit ribosomal RNA", at positions 524 to 776 of the family's 1533-position model. The record is from RNAcentral.